This 253-nucleotide ribosomal RNA is filed under the name uncultured bacterium. Its description in RNAcentral is "partial 16S ribosomal RNA". It matches the Rfam family "Bacterial small subunit ribosomal RNA", at positions 524 to 776 of the family's 1533-position model. The record is from RNAcentral.
UACGUAGGGUGCAAGCGUUAAUCGGAAUUACUGGGCGUAAAGCGUGCGCAGGCGGUUAUGUAAGACAGGUGUGAAAUCCCCGGGCUUAACCUGGGAACUGCAUUUGUGACUGCAUAGCUAGAGUACGGUAGAGGGGGAUGGAAUUCCGCGUGUAGCAGUGAAAUGCGUAGAUAUGCGGAGGAACACCGAUGGCGAAGGCAAUCCCCUGGACCUGCACUGACGCUCAUGCACGAAAGCGUGGGGAGCAAACAGG